AUGGCGGCUUCCCUCCGCGCGGCGGCGACGAGGAUGCUGCGCCCGGCGGUGCUUCCAGGGGAGGGGCGUCGCCUGCUCGUCCACACCCAGCAGCUUUCCAAAUCAACCCGCGCCUACGAGGAAGGAAACCAUGCCUUGAAUGAAUACCGUGCGUCGCUUAUCCAGCAGAGGAAGGAGCAGCUGUACGUUCUCAUUGCCGGCGCCGAGGCCAAUUCCCGCACCUUCUUGCUGAACAAAAGUCUGCUCAAGGAUCUCUCUACACAAGUCAAGCCUAGACCAGAGGACCCUCAAUGGCGCAAGAUAUGUAGAACCAAGAAGGUGACCAACUUCACUAGGUCGGCGGGUAUUCUUGUUAUUUCUGGGCUCACUUAUUAUGCCUUGACUUCCCGUCCUGAAAUCGUAAGGUAUGGUGACUAUCUUGUUACUGCUGAGAGUGUGCCCAUGAUACAAGAGAGGCUGGAGGCGCAAGUAAUACAAGAGAGACUGCGGAGAGUUGCUACUGCUGAGGGAGUGAACAAGCAAGAUGGACAUCAGCCUGUUGCUACUGCUGAGGAAGUGGACAAGCAAGAUGAAUGUCAGUGUGUUGCUAGUGCUGAGGAAGUGGACAAGCAAGAUGGAUAUCAGCCUGUUGCUAGUGCUGAGGGAGUGGACAAGCAAGAUGGAUAUCAGCCUGUUGCUAAAGCAAGUUGA
This 690-nucleotide ribosomal RNA is filed under the name Triticum aestivum (bread wheat). RNAcentral's name for it is "partial small subunit ribosomal RNA". Lineage: Eukaryota; Viridiplantae; Streptophyta; Magnoliopsida; Poales; Poaceae. The record is from RNAcentral.